GACGAACGCUGGCGGCGUGCUUAACACAUGCAAGUCGAACGGAAAGGCCCUGCUUUUGUGGGGUGCUCGAGUGGCGAACGGGUGAGUAACACGUGAGUAACCUGUCCCUGACUUUGGGAUAACUUUAGGAAACUGGGGCUCAUACCGGGUAGGAGCUCCUGCUGCAUGGUGGGGGUUGGAAAGUUUCGGCGGUUGGGGCUGGACUCGCGGCUUAUCAGCUUGUUGGUGGGGUAGUGGCUUACCAAGGCUUUGACGGGUAGCCGGCCUGGGAGGGUGACCGGCCACAUUGGGACUGAGAUACGGCCCAGACUCCUACGGGACGCAGCAGUGGGGAAUAUUGCACAAUGGGCGGAAGCCUGAUGCAGCAACGCCGCGUGCGGGAUGACGGCCUUCGAGUUGUAAACCGCUUUCGCCGGUGACGAGGCGUGAGUGACGGUAAUGGGUAAAGAAGCACCGGCUAACUACGUG
RNAcentral lists this ribosomal RNA (468 nucleotides) under uncultured bacterium. RNAcentral describes it as "partial 16S ribosomal RNA". It matches the Rfam family "Bacterial small subunit ribosomal RNA", at positions 28 to 507 of the family's 1533-position model. The record is from RNAcentral.